This 657-nucleotide ribosomal RNA is filed under the name Chaetothyriales sp. A511. RNAcentral's name for it is "SSU rRNA". It matches the Rfam family "Bacterial small subunit ribosomal RNA", at positions 463 to 1208 of the family's 1533-position model. The record is from RNAcentral. Lineage: Eukaryota; Fungi; Ascomycota; Eurotiomycetes; Chaetothyriales.
AUGAUAAUGACAAUAUACUAUCUAUAAGUCUUGACCAAAUUACGUGCCAGCAGUCGCGGUAACACGUAGAAGACUAGUGUUAUUCAUCUUUAUUAGGUUUAAAGGGUACCUAGACGGGAAAUCAAGCCAUAAUAGGGACUAAUUUUCUAGAGUUUUAUGUGAGAAGGGGCGAAUUUCCGGAGGAAAGUUGAUAUUUUGUGAUACCGGAAGGACGGGUAACGGCGAAGGCAACCUUCUAUGUAAAAACUGACGUUGAGGGACGAAGCCUUGGGUAACGAGAAGGAUUAGAUACCCUAGUAGUCCUUGGAGACAAUUAUGAAUGCCAUAGGUUAAAUAUAUUUUGGCCUAUAAAUGAAAGUGUAAGCAUUCCACCUCAUGAGUAAAGCGGCAACGCCCAAAUUGAAAUCAUUAGACCGUUUCUGAAACCAGUAGUGAAGUAUGUUAUUUAAUUCGAUGAUCCGCGAAUAACCUUACCACGCAUUGAAUAUUAUUCAAUUAUUACAAGCGCUGCACGGCUGUCUUCAGUUAAUGUCGUGAGAUUUUGGUUCGUUCCAUAAAUUAACGAAAACCCUUGCUUUAUUUGUUUUUAUAAAGUAGUUCUCCGUUAUAUUGGAUAAGUUAAAAGGGACUAAGACAAGUCAUCAUGGCCUAAAUAGC